CUAUGAACUGUGCUGAUCAAACGUAUAUUUUUGAGGGUUGUUAGUAGUAAAAAAUACUCUUCAGUUAAACCCUGGUGUUUGGCACAACCACGACUGCCUGAUCAGAAGACCUGAGGGACCACUGUGUGUUACAAACAAUAACACUUUGCACAGACAGGAAUAAGUACACAUGAAAACACCACUGUGUUUGCCAUCUGUGCCUGCCAGAUGGAUUGACCCUGAGUGCAGGUCAGAGCCACAUAAGGAGGAUCAGGCAAAUAUACCAAACCUCCUCCUGAGAAAGAGUCUGCAGUGGAGAUGAGGUCUGCUUCUGAAAGCAGUGCACAAACAGCUGGACAGUGAACAUCCUCAGAGGUGACAGUUUUCCAGAAGGAUGCUGUGGUUGGACUUGUUUGAUCCAUUUCCACAUGCUUGUGGUUUUAAAUGCCUGGAAAAGAUGGCUAAUUUACAUUAUGGGCAUUAUUUAAUUCUGGUUGGAUGAGGACAUUUGGUCAAGGCCAUCUUCACAUUUCAAGAAUAUUAUCUUUUGGUUUAUCACAACAUUGGGAUUUCUGUGUUCUCAGCCAUUUCACUGCCCUAUUUCAAGCUGUGUUUUUUAGAUAUGUUUUUUUAUUUAUUUUUAUGUUGUGGCAACUAAAUAAAGAGGCCGUGAGAGAGCUUAA
Long non-coding RNA from Sander lucioperca (pikeperch), 662 nucleotides. RefSeq lists it as uncharacterized. The record is from RefSeq and is a predicted model, not a curated record. NCBI's taxonomy places the organism in Eukaryota, Metazoa, Chordata, Actinopteri, Perciformes, Percidae. The transcript has 2 exons.